AAGACUCAUUUGUGGCUUUAAGUAGUGACCAAAUUGGCUAAAAGUCCCAAAGAUAAAACAUGUUUGACAUGUUGCUUCAGGAGGAAGUUUGGAACACUUGGUGAACUUCUUGAGAAAUAAGUGAGUGGGCACCCACAAGAUACUACAAGCUAUUGGAGGCAUUCAGUAUAUCAAAUCAGAAAAUUGAGCAAAGUACUGAGGAUCACAGAGGACAGAUCAGUCAACUCUGCCUGUGAUAUUCAUAAACAAAGUCUUCAUAUAAGAGUCAUACACAUUCAGUGGAAGAAAGAUGUUUAAUCAACUGCACUCAGGAGACUCUCUUAAAGUUAACGGUCUGGUCUUGGAAGAAGGGAUAAACACCACCGUUAGAAGAAGUUGGAGCUUCCAUUACAGUAACAUGUGGCCCUGUGGUUGAGUGCUAGCCCCUGGAAUGUGGGCAGAAGUGACAUACACUGAUUUCAAGCUUGACCCAUAAACUUCAGGGAGCAGUCCUCCGUGCUCUGUUUCCUCCUCUGGCUGGUUGGAAUGGAGACAGCUUCCAUGGCAUUAAUCAAAGCUACAAGGGGAAGAUAACAGAGUCUCCAAGAGCUUAGGUCCUCAAGUGACUUUGCAGAGACUUUUCAUCUUCUCGGUAUUGUUACACGACGAAAAACAUUAAGCAUAAGUUGAGGUCUGUUCAUUACAGAGAUUACUCUACCCUAUUACAUCAAAUUGUCACAUUGAUUUGUUAAUUUAAUGAAUAUCUGUUGAAUAUUAAUCGUGCACCCAGCACUAUAUUGGGUGCUGGUGAUGGAGUGAAGAACAAAGUAUAUGAACUGUCUUGCUGUCACAGAGCUUACGGCCCAGGAGGUGAACCCCAAUUUUAUAUGUUUCAGCUCAGUGUGCCUCAAUGUACUAUUUUAUUACAUCAAAGUAUACUUUUUAUAUUU
Long non-coding RNA from Neofelis nebulosa (Clouded leopard), 929 nucleotides. RefSeq lists it as uncharacterized. The record is from RefSeq and is a predicted model, not a curated record. NCBI's taxonomy places the organism in Eukaryota, Metazoa, Chordata, Mammalia, Carnivora, Felidae. The transcript has 5 exons.